CCUACGUGUGGCAGCAGUGGGGAAUAUUGCGCAAUGGGCGAAAGCCUGACGCAGCGACGCCGCGUGAGGGAUGAAGGUCUUCGGAUCGUAAACCUCUGUCAGCAGGGAAGAACGGUCACUGUGCUAAUCAGCAGUGAAUUGACGGUACCUGCAAAGGAAGCACCGGCUAACUCCGUGCCAGCAGCCGCGGUAAUACGGAGGGUGCGAGCGUUAAUCGGAAUUACUGGGCGUAAAGCGCUCGUAGGCGGUAUGUCAAGUCAAGGGUGAAAUCCCCGCGCUCAACGUGGGAACUGCCUUUGAAACUGGCAAACUGGAGUGUGGGAGAGGAUAGUGGAAUUCCAGGGGUAGGAGUGAAAUCCGGAGAUAUCUGGAGGAACAUCAGUGGCGAAGGCGACUAUCUGGCACAUAACUGACGCUGAGGAGCGAAAGCGUGGGUAGCAAACAGGAUUAGAUACCCGAGUAGUC
RNAcentral lists this ribosomal RNA (465 nucleotides) under uncultured bacterium. Its description in RNAcentral is "partial 16S ribosomal RNA". It matches the Rfam family "Bacterial small subunit ribosomal RNA", at positions 338 to 795 of the family's 1533-position model. The record is from RNAcentral.